AUACGUAGGGAGCGAGCGUUGCCCGGAAUGAUUGGGCGUAAAGGGCGCGUAGGCGGCCCGGUAAGUCUGGAGUGAAAGUCCUGCUUUUAAGGUGGGAAUUGCUUUGGAUACUGUCGGGCUUGAGUGCAGGAGAGGUAAGUGGAAUUCCCAGUGUAGCGGUGAAAUGCGUAGAGAUUGGGAGGAACACCAGUGGCGAAGGCGACUUACUGGACUGUAACUGACGCUGAGGCGCGAAAGUGUGGGGAGCAAACAGGAUUAGAUACCCUGGUAGUCCACACUGUAAACGAUGAAUGCUAGGUGUAGGGGGUAUCGACCCCUUCUGUGCCGCAGUUAACACAAUAAGCAUUCCGCCUGGGGAGUACGGCCGCAAGGUUGAAACUCAAAUGAAUUGACGGGG
RNAcentral lists this ribosomal RNA (397 nucleotides) under uncultured bacterium. RNAcentral's name for it is "partial 16S ribosomal RNA". It matches the Rfam family "Bacterial small subunit ribosomal RNA", at positions 523 to 918 of the family's 1533-position model. The record is from RNAcentral.